UUAAAACCGACGAUCUAGAGUGGGUUAUCCCUGUAACGUCAUUUGGACAUAAAAUUCUUCCAAGUAUAUAACUGAUGGACAUUGUUUUCUCGUUCACUUGGAACCUCCUGAAAGAAACUGAACAGACAGCCACAAUGAAAGUUGAUAUAGUUUUACAACAAUGCUUCCUGUUAUUUGUAACGAUGUUGUCUAUUACACUUGUAAUUACCGAACCUGUUGAUUUGGAAACAGACGUAGCAGAUGAACCCCCUUCUGAAUCAGAAGGACAUUUUGUCUAUGUAAACACAAAUCCUUCAAGACAACGAAGAAAUGGACUGUCUUUACUUGCCCCACCAAAUAUGUACCAGCAAAAGUUUGCUCCAUUUUUACACAAAACGCCAGCUAAACGAGAUGGAUUUUGGAUUUGGAUGCCAGCCCAAGGAUACGUGUCCGUUCCAAGACAAGGUGCAGCAGGAGCAAAUGGUAGAGGAGGUGCAAAUUCAAACCUUCUUAGAUACGGAUAAUGUGGAGGCUAUUAUUAACAUUCAGUACAAGCAAUUGAAACUCAGGAUGGUUCACCGAAAUUAUGUUACCGCUAGACAUUUUUAUGAUACUCUGUGAUCUUCUUCUACUUUUAGAAACCGACAUUAGAUGGAAUGCUUACCAUUCAAAUAGAAUAUGACCAUUAACGAUUACAUCAAUUUUAAUAAAAUCUGAAAAAAAUGUCUACUGUAAA
Molecule: long non-coding RNA, 715 nt
Organism: Mytilus californianus (California mussel)
Lineage: Eukaryota; Metazoa; Mollusca; Bivalvia; Mytilida; Mytilidae
Exons: 2
Source: RefSeq, a predicted model, not a curated record